Molecule: transfer RNA, 78 nt
Filed under: Octadecabacter arcticus 238
Lineage: Bacteria; Pseudomonadati; Pseudomonadota; Alphaproteobacteria; Rhodobacterales; Roseobacteraceae
Description: tRNA-Asn
Rfam family: tRNA
About the family: Transfer RNA (tRNA) molecules are approximately 80 nucleotides in length. Their secondary structure includes four short double-helical elements and three loops (D, anti-codon, and T loops).
Source: RNAcentral
AUUCCGGCGUAGCUCAGCGGUAGAGCAGUUGACUGUUAAUCAAUUUGUCGUAGGUUCGAUCCCUACCGCCGGAGCCAA